RNAcentral lists this transfer RNA (70 nucleotides) under Avocettina infans (avocet snipe-eel). RNAcentral describes it as "tRNA-Ile". It matches the Rfam family "tRNA". From Rfam's summary of the family: Transfer RNA (tRNA) molecules are approximately 80 nucleotides in length. RNAcentral also lists the same sequence under 1 other name. The record is from RNAcentral. Lineage: Eukaryota; Metazoa; Chordata; Actinopteri; Anguilliformes; Nemichthyidae.
GGAAAUGUGCCUGAAUAAAAGGACUACUUUGAUAGAGUAAAUUAUGGGAGUUAAAGUCCCCCCAUUUCCU